UGGGAAAUUUUAACCCUGACUAAUGUUUUUAGAUUAUAAUGCCUGAGUUAACCUACUAAACAAGAACAAUGGAGCCAAGUCUUGUUGUCCUGUAUCUGUUUUUCUGGGCCAGUGUUUAUACCUCAGCAUAUGAUGUUGAUGAAAAUCUCAGAUGCCCAGACCCUGAGCGACAAAUAAAUAAUGCCAUUUUGAAAAGAGCAAAUCUGAAGAAAUAUUAUCAGGAAGGCAGCACAGUACAAUACAAGUGUAAAGCAGGCUAUUACUUUGAAAAUGGGCUCCAAGCCACAUGUUUAGCAGGAAAAUGGGAUUACCCACAAUGCAUAUCAUUGGGUGAAAAUCUUAGAUGUCGAGACCAUAAACGAGUGAUAAAUAAUGCAAUUCUGAGUAAAAAUAAAUCUGAAGGCGUACUAUCAGGAAGGUGGCGCAGUACAAUACAAGUGCAAAGAGGGGUAUUACUUGGAAAAUGGGCCCCUAGCCACAUGCACUGAAGGAAAAUGGUAUUACCCACAAUGCAUACCAAAAUGCAAACAAAAAGAAAAAAAAACAUUCCCAUCAUCUCACACCCUGCUACCCAUCACUUUAUCUGGACCUUCA
This is a long non-coding RNA of Silurus meridionalis, 594 nucleotides long. RefSeq lists it as uncharacterized. The transcript is spliced from 3 exons. The record is from RefSeq and is a predicted model, not a curated record. NCBI's taxonomy places the organism in Eukaryota, Metazoa, Chordata, Actinopteri, Siluriformes, Siluridae.